This 251-nucleotide ribosomal RNA is filed under the name uncultured bacterium. RNAcentral describes it as "partial 16S ribosomal RNA". It matches the Rfam family "Bacterial small subunit ribosomal RNA", at positions 526 to 779 of the family's 1533-position model. The record is from RNAcentral.
CGUAGGUGGCAAGCGUUGUCCGGAUUAUUGGGCGUAAAGGGAGCGCAGGUGGUGAUUUAAGUCUGAUGUGAAAGCCCACGGCUCAACCGUGGAAGGUCAUUGGAAACUGGAUCACUUGAGUGCAGAAGAGGAAAGCGGAAUUCCAUGUGUAGCGGUGAAAUGCGUAGAUAUAUGGAGGAACACCAGUGGCGAAAGCGGCUUCUGGUCUGACACUGACACUGAGGCUCGAAGCGUGGGGAGCAAACAGGAUU